Molecule: long non-coding RNA, 678 nt
Organism: Xenopus tropicalis (tropical clawed frog)
Lineage: Eukaryota; Metazoa; Chordata; Amphibia; Anura; Pipidae
Exons: 4
Source: RefSeq, a predicted model, not a curated record
GUUCUGUUGGGGGUGUGCCCAGGUUUCCCACUCUUUCCUCAGGAAACAAAGGAAAUUCCUUUGAACUCUUCCUCCCUCGUAACUCAUGGAACUCCACUGCCCAGACCGAGCCAAAGUAUUUGGGAUCUUGCCUUUUCCUGGGCCGCCAUUUUCCCCCGCAGACUUGACAGGCAGGUACUGAGCGAAUCCUUUAUCCCACUGGCUGCGACUGCAACUGCGACAGUACUUUCUACCUCCCGCACUCAUUCGCCUGGCAAAUCAUUGUAAUUUUUCAUAUUUCAUAGAAAUUUUUACUUUUUACAUUUCCCAAUGUUUUGUGGGAAAACAUUGGGCAAGCUCUGAGAGCUCAUUUACUAAUAGUACAAGUGCAGGAGUGCUAAUGGGGGGGGUCAACAUUUUGCCCCCUUAGGGCUCAUGAAUUUUAUCUAUGCCAUUUGUUGCAUUGUGUGCUUUGUGCUGUACAACGUUGUUCUAAAAGUCUGGUGCAAUACUUGGGUAUGUCAGGGAGUCCUAUACUAAAACUAAACACUAAACCCAACCAUAAAGCUGUCCUACUGUGCGUUAUCCCCAAAGGGCAGACUUUUCAGUGCUGGAAAUGUGAUUAGCUGAUCUGUAUAAAUCUGGCUCCCUGUUCUCUGUUCCUGCAAUUGGAGUUGGGAGCAUUAAGCACAGUUUCCC